This is a non-coding RNA of Mycena rebaudengoi, 96 nucleotides long. The record is from the annotation of a GenBank genome assembly. Lineage: Eukaryota; Fungi; Basidiomycota; Agaricomycetes; Agaricales; Mycenaceae.
GCCCUGGUUGAUUAAUGGAAAUCGCCCCCACACCCCUUAUACAGUUGCUUGAGCAGAUUUGUGUAGGAGACGGAGGUUCGAAUCCUCCCCGGGGCA